Non-coding RNA from Gossypium raimondii (Peruvian cotton), 109 nucleotides. The record is from Rfam. NCBI's taxonomy places the organism in Eukaryota, Viridiplantae, Streptophyta, Magnoliopsida, Malvales, Malvaceae.
GAGUCGCAUGAUGAUGACACUUAUAAAGUAAUUCCUUGAAUCUUUCCCAUGCUUCAUAUAAAGACUCAUCAUCUAAUUGUUGGAAAAUAGUUAUCUCAUUACGGAACUU